This 87-nucleotide non-coding RNA is filed under the name Paenibacillus sabinae. RNAcentral describes it as "c-di-GMP sequence". It matches the Rfam family "c-di-GMP-I riboswitch aptamer". Rfam says of the family: GEMM was predicted in a large-scale screen for bacterial structured RNA regulatory elements. Genes associated with GEMM are involved in a diverse array of functions, including chemotaxis regulation, signal transduction, secretion and chitin. The record is from RNAcentral. Lineage: Bacteria; Bacillati; Bacillota; Bacilli; Caryophanales; Paenibacillaceae.
GUACGAAAAAGGCAAAGCUGAUGAAAAUCAGUGACGCAAAGCUAAAGGGACUAAGUGGAGAAAUCCGUAUGUCAGCCAGCUCCCGAA